Molecule: ribosomal RNA, 305 nt
Filed under: uncultured bacterium
Lineage: Bacteria
Description: bacterial SSU rRNA
Rfam family: Bacterial small subunit ribosomal RNA
Source: RNAcentral
UCCUACGGGGGGCAGCAGUGGGGGAUAUUGCACAAUGGGGGAAACCCUGAUGCAGCGACGCCGCGUGGGUGAAGAAGCGCCUCGGCGCGUAAAGCCCUGUCAGCAGGGAAGAAAAUGAUGGUACCUGAAGAAGAAGCCCCGGCUAACUACGUGCCAGCAGCCGCGGUAAUACGUAGGGGGCAAGCGUUAUCCGGAUUUACUGGGUGUAAAGGGGGCGCAGACGGCGAUGCAAGCCAGGAGUGAAAGCCCGGGGCCCAACCCCGGGACUGCUCUUGGAACUGCGUGGCUAGUGUGCAGGAGGGGCA